ACGAACGCUGGCGGCGUGCUUAACACAUGCAAGUCGAACGGAAAGGCCCUGCUUUUGUGGGGUGCUCGAGUGGCGAACGGGUGAGUAACACGUGAGUAACCUGCCCUUGACUUUGGGAUAACUUCAGGAAACUGGGGCUAAUACCGGAUAGGAGCUCCUGCUGCAUGGUGGGGGUUGGAAAGUUUCGGCGGUUGGGGAUGGACUCGCGGCUUAUCAGCUUGUUGGUGGGGUAGUGGCUUACCAAGGCUUUGACGGGUAGCCGGCCUGAGAGGGUGACCGGCCACGUUGGGACUGAGCUACGGCCCAGACUCCUACGGGAGGCAGCAGUGGGGAAGAUUGCACAAUGGGCGGAAGCCUGAUGCAGCAACGCCGCGUGCGGGAUGACAGCCUUCGGGUUGGAAACCGCUUUCGCCUGUGACGAAGCGUGAGUGACGGUAAUGGGUAAAGAAGCACCGGCUAACUACGUG
Molecule: ribosomal RNA, 467 nt
Filed under: uncultured bacterium
Lineage: Bacteria
Description: partial 16S ribosomal RNA
Rfam family: Bacterial small subunit ribosomal RNA
Source: RNAcentral